AUAUCUUUCUCGGCCUUUUGGCUAAGAUCAAGUGUAGCAUAUGUUCUUAUCAGUUUAAUAUCUGAUAUGUGGUCCAACGGAUCAAAAAACAAUGUUAUAAAAGCCGUU
Molecule: small nuclear RNA, 108 nt
Filed under: Medicago truncatula (barrel medic)
Lineage: Eukaryota; Viridiplantae; Streptophyta; Magnoliopsida; Fabales; Fabaceae
Description: sRNA gene4822
Rfam family: U2 spliceosomal RNA
About the family: U2 is a small nuclear RNA (snRNA) component of the spliceosome (involved in pre-mRNA splicing).
Source: Rfam by way of RNAcentral